CCUACGGGAGGCAGCAGUAGGGAAUCUUCCACAAUGGGCGAAAGCCUGAUGGAGCAACGCCGCGUGUGUGAUGAAGGCUUUCGGGUCGUAAAGCACUGUUGUAUGGGAAGAACAGCUAGAAUAGGAAAUGAUUUUAGUUUGACGGUACCAUACCAGAAAGGGACGGCUAAAUACGUGCCAGCAGCCGCGGUAAUACGUAUGUCCCGAGCGUUAUCCGGAUUUAUUGGGCGUAAAGCGAGCGCAGACGGUUUAUUAAGUCUGAUGUGAAAGCCCGGAGCUCAACUCCGGAAUGGCAUUGGAAACUGGUUAACUUGAGUGCAGUAGAGGUAAGUGGAACUCCAUGUGUAGCGGUGGAAUGCGUAGAUAUAUGGAAGAACACCAGUGGCGAAGGCGGCUUACUGGACUGCAACUGACGUUGAGGCUCGAAAGUGUGGGUAGCAAACAGGAUUAGAUACCCUGGUAGUCCACACCGUAAACGAUGAACACUAGGUGUUAGGAGGUUUCCGCCUCUUAGUGCCGAAGCUAACGCAUUAAGUGUUCCGCCUGGGGAGUACGACCGCAAGGUUGAAACUCAAAGGAAUUGACGG
This 587-nucleotide ribosomal RNA is filed under the name Leuconostoc sp. P. RNAcentral's name for it is "bacterial SSU rRNA". It matches the Rfam family "Bacterial small subunit ribosomal RNA", at positions 338 to 916 of the family's 1533-position model. The record is from RNAcentral. Lineage: Bacteria; Bacillati; Bacillota; Bacilli; Lactobacillales; Lactobacillaceae.